RNA transcript from Melospiza melodia melodia, 2654 nucleotides. It is a transcript of the gene named potassium channel subfamily K member 16-like, with no coding region annotated. The transcript is spliced from 7 exons. NCBI's taxonomy places the organism in Eukaryota, Metazoa, Chordata, Aves, Passeriformes, Passerellidae. The record is from RefSeq and is a predicted model, not a curated record.
CCAGCGGAAAACAGAGCAGGGAGGGCUCUUCCUGCCCGGGGGAGGCUUCCCAGGAGUGUGAGGGAUUUACAGUCACCUCCUCUGGCUCCCCAUCCCCUGCAGAGUCGCCCUGAAGGCCAUGUGCAGCGGCAGGCUGCAGACAGCUCUGCUGGUGGCUGGCUACUUUGCCUACCUGCUGGUGGGUGCUGCCGUGUUCCAGGCCCUGGAGAGGACCGCUGAGAAGCAGGAGAAAAUGGCAGCUGCCCAGAUGAAGGAGGCUUUUCUGCAGAACUUCACGCAGCUCACAGUGGCGGAGAUGGAGCAGUUCAUGAAGAACCUGAUUGAAGCCAUUCAAAAUGGAGUAUACCCUGUUGGCAAUGAGUCACAGUUUGAAGAGAGCAACUGGGAUUUCAGCAACUCCUUCUUCUUUGCAGGCACAGUUGUCUCCACAAUUGGUUAUGGCACAUUACAUCCUAAAACUGCUGGGGGACAGAUAUUUUGUGUGUUUUUUGCUCUUUUUGGAAUCCCUCUGAACAUUGUUUUUCUGCACCGUGUCGGUAAGAUGCUCUCACUGCUCUGUAAAAAGCUGGGGAAAUUCCUGUACGAGAAAGGAAUGAGAAAGAAGAAGAUCAAAUUUCUGACCCUUUUGUUCUUCCUGGCAACGGGGAUCCUGGUUUUUCUGUGCUUGCCAUCAGUCUUCUUCCAGAUAACAGAGGGCUGGUCCUACAGUGAAGGAAUUUACUUUGCAUUUAUCACCCUCAGCACCAUUGGCUUUGGAGAUUAUGUUGUAGGCAAACAGUCUGACAGGAAAUACUUUUCCUACUAUCGAGUGCUUGUGGCCAUUUGGAUUCUUUUUGGCCUUGCCUGGAUUGCUCUGCUGUUUAAUUUAUUGACAACAGUACUAGAAGAUACUGAAAAAAUAAUUGUCAAGGAUCUCCAGCAAAUUGGAAAGUGCACAUUCCUGUGUCCCAUCCAGCUGAUCAGCUGAGAAAUGGAGCAAUCAGCCCUGUAGAAAGGAUCUGAGAACAUUGGCACAGGUGUUCCCAGAGAAAGAAGACAAUAUGCCCUCAAGUCUCUGUAGUAAGGGUUUGGAUCCAGGCCACUGAAGACCAGCAUGUGAGGCCUAAUCCCGUAAAAACAGUCAAUGUUUGGAUGGGAAACGUGUCACUGAUCUGGAGCCAGGUGGGUGCAGACUUCCGUGGGAGGAUGAGUCAAGAGAGCUCUGGCACCAUCUGCAAAAGGACCUGAUGCUGUGGGAGAGAGCUCAGCAAGUGUAAAAACCCAUGAGGAAGCAGGGAUGGUCCAAAGAAAAACCCACAAUUCCCCUGGUUGUCCUUGGAGCAUUCUGGAGAUCACUGCAAGACCAAGCACUUGAAGUGUUUCCCUUCCACCUCUGAGCCAUGAGACAGGGAUGGUCUGUUCCUCACACAGCUUCUCUGGAGGAACUCCAGCCUUGAGCACAGAGCUGGCAGCUGGCAGGGUGCCACUGGCUUUGCCAGAUCUGACCACAGCUGGUCCCGAUGCAAUAAAAUGUUGAAUCACCAGAAUCUGAGAAUGUGAUUGUCUGGAGGGUCACCAAGAAAAAUCAGCAAAGACUCGAUGGCACCUUGCAAUGCAUUUGCCAGUUCCAGGCUCUGUGGAAACCUCACCUGUCAAAUUUCCUCCAAACUGGGCUCAGAUGCUUGAAUUUGCCAGUGGGGAAAAGCAUUUCUGAUAACUCUGCCCAACUUAAGCUUGCAAAGAAACCUCAAGUAGAGAGAGCCUCGCAAUGAAUAAAGGUUUGUCUCACAAAAUUCCCAUGCCCCAAGGGGGUGCAACCCACUCACCCAAAACCAAGAGCAAAUGUGUGACAGAAAGGAUGCAUUGGGAUACUGGGUGCAGCUCAGCAUCCAUGAUGGUUCAUGAGUGAUCCAUCAGCUCUGCCAGCCACUGGAAUGGGUUUUUUCUGCUUCCCCUCCAUCUGCCAGCUCAGCAAGACAUCUCCACAGGGAUCUACACAUAUCCUGAGACACCUUCAAACAGGCUUCCCUGUCACUGCAGCCCAACACAGUUUCCAUAAAGUAUAGAAGGACCUGAAGGCCUUGAGUAAGAUCAGUUUCACUGGUUGCCCAGAAAAAAACUGUGGCUGCCCCAUAUUCCGAAGGGUUGGAUGGGGCUUGGAGCAGCCUGGUGUUGUGGAAGGUGUCCCUGCCCAUGGAACUGGCAGGGGAUGGAACAGGGUGAUCUGUAAGGUCCCUCCCAACCCAAACUAUUCAGUGCUUUCUAUGAUUACCAUGAUUUCACCAGCUUUACACCCACUCAGACCUGCCACAGACUGGUGAAAGCCCCUUCAUUCCCACUCUAGCUGUCCUUAAGGUCACAUUUUGUGGUGUUAGCACCAUCAAGACCUGCACAUCAAUCUGGAUCUGUCCUCCAUCUGUCCUGCAUCCUUAUCUCAUGUGUUUUCAAGGAGCUCAGCAGAAAUUUAUGGAUCAAAGCUAAUCGAUAAUACCGGAGCCCUUUCACCAUAUUGCUUUCACUAAAUUACUGCAUCCUUUAAAAACAGAAAUCUUAGCAGACCGCAGUACAAUGCCAGACAGACUGUCACUUCCAAAUUAUGUUUAUUUAUUCUCCCUCUGCCUCUUGGCUGGCCCCAUUACCAGCAUAUCUCAGUGUCUCUCAGCCAUCAGCAUAUU